AUUGAAUUGGCAGAUUUAUGUAUUAAUUUUAGAAUUUAAUUAAGUAAUUAAUAUUACAUUCAAUA
Molecule: transfer RNA, 65 nt
Filed under: Arboridia sp. 1 NZ-2023a
Lineage: Eukaryota; Metazoa; Arthropoda; Insecta; Hemiptera; Cicadellidae
Description: tRNA-Leu
Source: RNAcentral